CAAAAAGUAGCUUAAUCAAAGCAUCUCGUUUACACCGAGAAAAUGUCCGUGAAACCCGGACCAUUUUGA
RNAcentral lists this transfer RNA (69 nucleotides) under Dendropsophus melanargyreus (interior treefrog). RNAcentral's name for it is "tRNA-Val". It matches the Rfam family "tRNA". Rfam says of the family: Transfer RNA (tRNA) molecules are approximately 80 nucleotides in length. Their secondary structure includes four short double-helical elements and three loops (D, anti-codon, and T loops). Further hydrogen bonds mediate the characteristic L-shaped molecular structure. tRNAs have two regions of fundamental functional importance: the anti-codon, which is responsible for specific mRNA codon recognition, and the 3' end, to which the tRNAs corresponding amino acid is attached (by aminoacyl-tRNA synthetases). tRNAs cope with the degeneracy of the genetic code in two manners: having more than one tRNA (with a specific anti-codon) for a particular amino acid; and 'wobble' base-pairing, i.e. permitting non-standard base-pairing at the 3rd anti-codon position. The record is from RNAcentral. Lineage: Eukaryota; Metazoa; Chordata; Amphibia; Anura; Hylidae.